This 28-nucleotide non-coding RNA is filed under the name Rattus norvegicus (Norway rat). Lineage: Eukaryota; Metazoa; Chordata; Mammalia; Rodentia; Muridae. The record is from RNAcentral.
UCAUCUACACAGCUUGAGAAUGCUAAGC